This 1165-nucleotide ribosomal RNA is filed under the name Escherichia coli. Its description in RNAcentral is "partial 23S ribosomal RNA". It matches the Rfam family "Bacterial large subunit ribosomal RNA", at positions 375 to 1546 of the family's 2925-position model. Lineage: Bacteria; Pseudomonadati; Pseudomonadota; Gammaproteobacteria; Enterobacterales; Enterobacteriaceae. The record is from RNAcentral.
GUACACAAAAAUGCACAUACUGUGAGCUCGAUGAGUAGGGCGGGACACGUGGUAUCCUGUCUGAAUAUGGGGGGACCAUCCUCCAAGGCUAAAUACUCCUGACUGACCGAUAGUGAACCAGUACCGUGAGGGAAAGGCGAAAAGAACCCCGGCGAGGGGAGUGAAAAAGAACCUGAAACCGUGUACGUACAAGCAGUGGGAGCCUCUUUUAUGGGGUGACUGCGUACCUUUUGUAUAAUGGGUCAGCGACUUAUAUUCUGUAGCAAGGUUAACCGAAUAGGGGAGCCGAAGGGAAACCGAGUCUUAACUGGGCGUUAAGUUGCAGGGUAUAGACCCGAAACCCGGUGAUCUAGCCAUGGGCAGGUUGAAGGUUGGGUAACACUAACUGGAGGACCGAACCGACUAAUGUUGAAAAAUUAGCGGAUGACUUGUGGCUGGGGGUGAAAGGCCAAUCAAACCGGGAGAUAGCUGGUUCUCCCCGAAAGCUAUUUAGGUAGCGCCUCGUGAAUUCAUCUCCGGGGGUAGAGCACUGUUUCGGCAAGGGGGUCAUCCCGACUUACCAACCCGAUGCAAACUGCGAAUACCGGAGAAUGUUAUCACGGGAGACACACGGCGGGUGCUAACGUCCGUCGUGAAGAGGGAAACAACCCAGACCGCCAGCUAAGGUCCCAAAGUCAUGGUUAAGUGGGAAACGAUGUGGGAAGGCCCAGACAGCCAGGAUGUUGGCUUAGAAGCAGCCAUCAUUUAAAGAAAGCGUAAUAGCUCACUGGUCGAGUCGGCCUGCGCGGAAGAUGUAACGGGGCUAAACCAUGCACCGAAGCUGCGGCAGCGACGCUUAUGCGUUGUUGGGUAGGGGAGCGUUCUGUAAGCCUGUGAAGGUGUACUGUGAGGUAUGCUGGAGGUAUCAGAAGUGCGAAUGCUGACAUAAGUAACGAUAAAGCGGGUGAAAAGCCCGCUCGCCGGAAGACCAAGGGUUCCUGUCCAACGUUAAUCGGGGCAGGGUGAGUCGACCCCUAAGGCGAGGCCGAAAGGCGUAGUCGAUGGGAAACAGGUUAAUAUUCCUGUACUUGGUGUUACUGCGAAGGGGGGACGGAGAAGGCUAUGUUGGCCGGGCGACGGUUGUCCCGGUUUAAGCGUGUAGGCUGGUUUUCCAGGCAAAUCCGGA